UACGUAGGCAGCAAGCGUUGUUCGGAGUUACUGGGCGUAAAGGGUGUGUAGGCGGUUCUUUAAGUUUGGUGUGAAAUCUCCCGGCUCAACCGGGAGGGUGCGCCGAAUACUGAGGAGCUAGAGUGCGGGAGAGGAAAGUGGAAUUCCUGGUGUAGCGGUGAAAUGCGUAGAUAUCGGGAAGAACACCCGUGGCGAAGGCGGCUCUCUGGGACGGUACUGACGCUGAGACGCGAAAGCGUGGGGAGCGAACAGG
This 253-nucleotide ribosomal RNA is filed under the name uncultured bacterium. RNAcentral's name for it is "partial 16S ribosomal RNA". It matches the Rfam family "Bacterial small subunit ribosomal RNA", at positions 524 to 776 of the family's 1533-position model. The record is from RNAcentral.